AAAUCGGGAAAUUUUUCGAAGUACAAAACUACUAAUGUCAUCCAUCCGGGAGGUUGGUAAUUUAUAUUUACUAGAGUGGCUAAUGCCAUUACCGACACUUCAAAAUACCUGGAUAUUAAUUCGAUGUUUGAGUUUUUAUCAUUCGUUUUUUCAUCUGGCAUGAUGUCCAUUUGGUUAAUAAUAAAUUGUGUUUCUGCUAAAUGUACGGUCGCAUGAUGGGCGAAAUGUACGGUCGCAUGAUGGGCGUACACACAUUCUACAUCGUUUAUUAUCGUAUUUGAAAACGGUCGCAUGAUGGGCGUACACACAUUCUACAUCGUUUAUUAUCGUAUUUGAAAUUUUGGUAAACAUUCCAAACAACUCUCUGUAAUAGUUUGGAUACGAUGAAAUAUAUACAUUAUUUACUAAUUUUCUCAUUAUUGAUGUCUUAUCCAUAUCGUAAAAAUUUAAAUCAAUGUUUAAUAAUGAAAAACGAUGAGAUAUAUAUGUGUGUAUAACUAGAAAUUCAUCAGUGUAGAAUUCCCACCCCAUUGGAAUUCUUGGUGAGAAAUUAUUGCGGAAUUUGAUUUUUUUUUUUUCCGUAUAUUUAUUUCCUAAGAGAUCAUUAAAUUCUACUUUCUUUACGUAGGAUAAUAUCGAUUUAUUUCGAUGCAGUACAAAAUUUAUUCCCAAUAUUAGAUUAUCUUUUAUAUCCAUCGUGAUU
Non-coding RNA from Cinara cedri, 703 nucleotides. Lineage: Eukaryota; Metazoa; Arthropoda; Insecta; Hemiptera; Aphididae. The record is from the annotation of a GenBank genome assembly.